Molecule: ribosomal RNA, 868 nt
Filed under: uncultured archaeon
Lineage: Archaea
Description: bacterial SSU rRNA
Rfam family: Archaeal small subunit ribosomal RNA
Source: RNAcentral
CUCCGGUUGAUCCCCGCGGGACCCGACUGCUAUCAGAGUGAGAUUAAGCCAUGCGAGUUAACGUAGCAAUACGUGGCGCACGGCUCAGUAACACGUAGUCAACAUGCCCAGAGGACGUGGAUAACCUCGGGAAACUGAGUCUAAACCGCGAUAAGUGAGGAUUUCUGGAAUGGGUAAUGACUUAAAUCUAUAUGGCCCCUGGAUUGGACUGCGGCCGAUCAGGCUGUUGGUGAGGUAAUGGCCCACCAAACCUGUAACCGGUACGGGCUCUGAGAGGAGGAGCCCGGAGAUGGGCACUGAGACAAGGGCCCAGGCCCUAUGGGGCGCAGCAGGCGCGAAACCUCUGCAAUAGGCGAAAGCUUGACAGGGUUACUCUGAGUGAUUUCCGUUAAGGAGAUCUUUUGGCACCUCUAAAAAUGGUACAGAAUAAGGGGUGGGCAAGUCUGGUGUCAGCCGCCGCGGUAAUACCAGCACCCCGAGUGGUCGGGACGUUUAUUGGGCCUAAAGCAUCCGUAGCCGGUUCUACAAGUCUUCCGUUAAAUCCACCUGCUUAACAGAUGGGCUGCGGAAGAUACUAUAGAGCUAGGAGGCGGGAGAGGCAAGCGGUACUCGAUGGGUAGGGGUAAAAUCCGUUGAUCCAUUGAAGACCACCAGUGGCGAAGGCGGCUUGCCAGAACGCGCUCGACGGUGAGGGAUGAAAGCUGGGGGAGCAAACCGGAUUAGAUACCCGGGUAGUCCCAGCUGUAAACGAUGCAGACUCGGUGAUGAGUUGGCUUAUUGCUAACUCAGUGCCGCAGGGAAGCCGUUAAGUUUGCCGCCUGGGGAGUACGGUCGCAAGACUGAAACUUAAAGGAAUUGGCGGGGAGCA